This 438-nucleotide long non-coding RNA is filed under the name Mytilus galloprovincialis (Mediterranean mussel). Lineage: Eukaryota; Metazoa; Mollusca; Bivalvia; Mytilida; Mytilidae. The record is from RNAcentral.
ACUAAUGAUCCAGGGACUAAUUAUGUUUCUAAAUUUAUCAGAACCAACAUCUGUGUUGUCUAGGAUGACCAGGUCAUUUCAGGUGAUGACCUUGUACUGAAUCUAGGAUAAUGACAUAAAAAUCACUUGUUUAAGUAUCAUACCUCAAUUUCCUUCCCAAAAAUCACUUCUUUAAGUAUCAUUAUUUUAAUAACCCCCACUAAUUUCAACACCCCCAAACAGUGAAAUUUUUAUCGCGAACAGUAGAAUUUUAUUACAUAAUCUGAAAGAUGAAACCUUGAACUUUACAGGAAAAAUACUCCCACUGCUGGGAAAAAUCUGUUAAGAAAGUAUCAGUUCAUUAUGUAAAGCCAUUAUUAUAGCAUUUUUUCAACUAAAAUAGAAUUUGCAGCUAAAUGAUAGCAUCAAAGGCAUAAACCUUGAUACUUAAAAGAAGCA